CAAAUUCAAUAAUACAACAGUUCUGUGAUGUAAAUAAUUAUAAGUGUUAAAUGUGUAACAUUCACAGACUCGAUUUCUAAUCAUCUAAGGCAUGGUGUGAAGAGCCGUGGGUUGGCAGUCGUGGCUUUUGGCGGUUAAGGCUCUGGGUUAUUGCUCGGAAGGUCGGAGGUUCAAGCCCCAGCACUGCUAAGGUGCCACUGUUGAGCCCUCGAGCAAGGCCCUUAACCCUCUCUGCUCCAGGGACACUGUAUCAUGGCUGACCCUGCGCUCUGGCCCCAACCUCCUGACAUGCUGGGAGAUUUCCCAGUAGGCGAUCACUCUGUGAUGUCUUGAAGCCUGGUACACAGCACCCAACCACUGCGAAACCAUAUGGAACUCAUCUCAUGCUGUCGAUGGAACUCAUCUCAUGCAUCUCAUGCACACUGAAAGUGGUGUGAUUGCUCCAUCCAGAUUAUUUUACCAACAGUUUUACCAUUCAUAUUUGGUAAUCCAGAAAUGCAUUCUGUAUGUGCUAAAGCUUUACAACUGGAGUUUUUAGGUGUGUGUACGUGUGUAAUUAGAGUGUGGCAGCCGGUGGAACAGCAGGCAACCUGCACAUGAAAAGCUGUGGCACACCUUUCUCAAUCAGGUCAGUCCCUAACCAAGCCCUACUGAAACACAGGGAUGUCAGUGUAAGCUCUGCUUUCAGAUCCAUGUAGUGCACUGAGCACACAUUCCAUCUGGCAGUAAUACAUUUGUUUGAUGCUUCCUUAACUUGGUGGGUCUUAUAAAUAUUGCGGGAGAAUGUAUUACCUACACCUACUUCAGCUCUAUUUGUUAUAUUUGUAUUACGUACAAUAACUAAUGCUAUAUUAAAAUAUUUUAUAUUUUGGGGCUAAUUUUAAGCCUUUGGGUAAUACGAGAGUAUACUUCACUUUGCUGCCAGCUUAAUAGGUAAACCGACCUGUCACAGUCUCUCCCUUUGUGUUGCCAUUUCUGUUUUGGUUUUCUGUUCUGUCUCUGUCACAAUCCUGUCAUUGGUCUGUUACCCAAUUGUGGUUACCUGUUCUGUGUUUGGUUCUGGAUUAGUGUGCCUUCUUUUAUCUUCUGUGUGUCAUUGACUGUGUAUACAUGCACAUCAAUAGGCAGUAUUCUAAUAGUAUUGAGUCUUGUAAGUGCCACAGUCCGAUUGACCGAUUCUGAUUGAGACAAUAUUCUGAUUCCCACCCCUGGAAUAUGCCUGUUUUAAUCGCAAAUUUGUUGCAUGUAAACACCUUAUUCAGAAAAUCCACUGAAAGGAGAUAUAUGCGCAUGCUCAGUCCACAAGGAAUUGUGGGUGCUAACAGAUGCUUAGCUGUAGGCUAGAUAUUUAGGAAUAGUAACUCAGGCAUACAUACAACAACCAUGUAUACAGAAAUAUUGCUGCAACCCGAAUAUAGACCUUAAAUGGAAUUUGACGUGCAUGUAAAUGUAGUCAGUGUUUGUUGUGAAGUGUUGCUGAUAGUACUGUGCAAAUUGCCUUGUUUUCCAAAUUUUAUGUCAUUGUACAUCCUGGUUUUGACCUAUUUUCUGUUUUGACAUUGAUUAUUGAUUAUCCAUAGUUAACUCUGCUUAACUGUAUUUUGACCCUUGCUAUGGACUCAUGGACUAUGGAUUGUGAUUCAUGGAUUCAUGGACUCAUGGAGGUGUCCUGCCUCUCACAGCACAUUGUCAGCUUCCUCCACCCCAUCCAUCAAUGGAAAGAGACAAUCACAGGACCACCACUGAUCAGAUAUUGAAAAUGCUGCUCAGAAUUGUGUUAUCUUGGCAAUUUUUUCCCCCUCCUGUUUGGCAAUCAAAGAACCUGGAAAGAAAAAUAUCUACGAGCUAUGUGGAUUGUAUUUUACAAUUGCAGCACAAUGCCAAAAUGGUUUUGUAGUACCUAGAAAAAACACCUUGCUUUCUAGGCACUAAUCGCCUUUUCUAUUACUUAUGCACUUAGGUUUAAAACCGUCCUUUCAAUACUGAUUACCUUUUGUAUUAUGCACUUAAGUUUGAAAUUGUCUUUUGAUAACAGCUAGACCACUCUAACACUUGCACAAAUAAUCAUUUGUCUUUUGUUCUUCAAGUUUGCUUUGUCUUUGCAGGUUUGCUAGAUCAUUUGUAUCACUACGCCUUCAACUGCUUGUAUAUUUUGUAAGUUGCUCUGGAUAAAAGUAGCUGCUAAAGUACUCAAUUUUAACAAUGACAGCAAUUAGGUACUCAUUGUUUGGAUGUCCUUCCUUUCUUCAAGCUCUCCAUUCAUCUAGAC
Molecule: long non-coding RNA, 2269 nt
Organism: Ictalurus punctatus (channel catfish)
Lineage: Eukaryota; Metazoa; Chordata; Actinopteri; Siluriformes; Ictaluridae
Source: Ensembl